GAUGAAGAACGUAGCGAAAUGCGAUACGUAAUGUGAAUUGCAGAAUUCAGUGAAUCAUCGAGUCUUUGAACGCACAUUGCGCCCCCUGGUAUUCCGGGGGGCAUGCCUGUCCGAGCGUCAUUGCUGCCCUCAAGCACGGCUUGUGUGUUGGGCCCCCGCCCCCCGGUUCCCGGGGGGCGGGCCCGAAAGGCAGCGGCGGCACCGAGUCCGGUCCUCGAGCGUAUGGGGCUUUGUCACCCGCUCUGUAGGCCCGGCCGGCGCCAGCCGACAACCCAUCAUCCUUUUCAGGUUGACCUCGGAUCAGGUAGGGAUACCCGCUGAACUUAAGCAUAUCAAUGAGCGGAGGA
Molecule: unclassified non-coding RNA, 347 nt
Filed under: soil metagenome
Description: partial contains 5.8S ribosomal RNA, internal transcribed spacer 2, and large subunit ribosomal RNA
Rfam family: 5.8S ribosomal RNA (bases 1-120)
Source: RNAcentral